Molecule: ribosomal RNA, 271 nt
Filed under: Elusimicrobiota bacterium
Lineage: Bacteria; Pseudomonadati; Elusimicrobiota
Description: Elusimicrobia bacterium (groundwater metagenome) partial 16S ribosomal RNA
Rfam family: Bacterial small subunit ribosomal RNA
Source: RNAcentral
AUUUAUGGAGAGUUUGAUCCUGGCUCAGAGUGAACGCUGGCGGCGUGCUUAACACAUGCAAGUCGAGCGAGAUUCUACAGCACACCGUAGAGUCUAGCGGCAGACGGGUGAGUAACACGUAGGAAACUUUCCCUGAAAUGGAGGAUACCCCCGAGAAAUCGGGGCUAAUACUGCAUAAGACCACAUUCCGGCAUCGGAAAGAGGUCAAAGGCCCGCAAGGGUCGUUUCGGGAUGGUCCUGCGUCCUAUCAGCUAGUUGGUGAGGUAACGGC